This 530-nucleotide small RNA is filed under the name Arabidopsis thaliana (thale cress). RNAcentral's name for it is "ATSL109310". The record is from RNAcentral. Lineage: Eukaryota; Viridiplantae; Streptophyta; Magnoliopsida; Brassicales; Brassicaceae.
AAUUUAUAUGAAAGUAUGUUUUAAGAAUCUUUAAGCCACAUAAAACAUAGGACCGGCCUGGUUGGAUGUAUGUGGUAUCAGAUCUGAAAAAUUGUCUACUGUAUGUUGCACCAGCUCCGACUAAACUUUUUAAAAAUCUAGGACGUACAAGCUAACUGGACCCAAUUCUUUUCAUAGAAAUCAUAUCGCUAUGACUAUGAUUGAAAAAAUGUUAUAGUUCAAGAUUUUUUGGUAUGGCCAAAAUUUUUUACCACAUACAAAUCUUUAGAUACCUUACCAUAGAAGAGACUUAGUCAGACUUUUAGUCAUCCAACUAGAGCGACGAACAAACUAUAUCGCGAACCGGGUAGGAUAUGUGCAUAGAACUUUUAAUUUUUUAUCGAGACUUACAAUUUUUUUUUUUGUUAGUUGGCACAUUGGAAAAAAGAGUGAAUGAAUAGUGGAUGCAUGUCUAUUAGACGCAACUCAAACUAUUUUGUUUCAAUUGGUUCAUGUUAUUCAUAUACAAAGAUUGUUCACCUAAAACUUAG